RNAcentral lists this long non-coding RNA (4098 nucleotides) under Homo sapiens (human). Its description in RNAcentral is "HSALNT0307817". Lineage: Eukaryota; Metazoa; Chordata; Mammalia; Primates; Hominidae. The record is from RNAcentral.
CAUUUUACUGAUAGUUCCUCAAUUUUCUCCCCAGGUACUUCCUCACUUGCACCUUCAAUUUUUGUGUCUAUUCUUGUUUUAAAUAGUCUUCAUAGGAAAUCUUACCUAGUUUCAAAUAUUGUUGGAACUCAGAUUUCUAAAUCUAUGACACCAACACAACAUCUCUUUUGAAAUGCAGAUUCAUACAUCUAUCAAACUCCCUCCUAAAUAUAAUUCCCAUUAAGUGUAUUGAAGUUUCAUCAAACUCUACAUAUCUGAAAAAUAGUUAUUUCCCUCACCUUGCCCCUCACUCUAAUAUGAACAAAUGUAUUUCUUCUAUGCUACUUUAAUCAUUAUAGAUUUUUCCUCUUUCACCUUUCUCUCAUGUAAUUAUUGACUGAGGUGAUUUUUUUAGAUAUUAAAUAUUUCUUGAAUAUCUCCACAUCUUUAUUCCUAUCCUGCCCAUAUCAGCUAGUAUGGCCAGGAAAACAGAAACCACUUUAGGUAGAAGGUAUUUAAUACAGGAAAUUAGAAACAACAUGGUUGGAAAUCAGAGGCAGGAAACAUCAGAAGAAAGUGGUCUGGUAUUUAGAGAACCCAGAAAUGCAGGAAUCAUAAAGUUGAUGCCAAUAAUCUCAACCUCCUGCAGGAUGAAGUGAGUUCUAAGAGCUCUGUACUCAUUAUAGAUCUUGGUCCCUCUAAAAUACCCCUUGAAGCUUUGUGGGAUCAAUUCCUAUACAUUCAGAAGCUAUGUCUGUCUGUCUGAGGGCUUUAUCUGGCUGUACAGACAUGCUGCAUGUGGGGCAGGACAUGAGUAUCAGAAAAUGAAUGCCCCAGGAACAACCUUCAACCACUGAGGAUCAGAAGUUGGUGAAUGAACAUGGCACCUCCUUACCCUCAGUGGAACAAUUCUGAAGUCUAGUCUAUAUAAUCCCUCCAAGGGUUUCCAGCAGGAUUGAGCCUCAGUUGACUACAGCUGUAAUCCAUAUGUCGAUGUCAUUUUAUUGGCUUUCUUCCCUUCCUUGUGUCACUUUUCCACCUCUUCUGCUUCUGGAUGAACUCCAAAAUAAGCUACCUGCUCUCAAGUCUUGUUCAUAGUUUAAGAUAUGAUUUAUGCAUUGCUUUUGGAGGAGGACAAUGCUUCUCUUUCUUUUCAAACUUCCACAUUUUAUGAGAGUGCAUCUUCUUGGCAGAAUUUAACUCAGAAAAUUUCUUGCAAGUGUCUGGCAAAUACAGUUUUUAGGCUCUUAAUUCUUGUGAUAGAGGGAAGUAUUUACUUAGAAAGGCAAGGAUGACUUUGAAUAUCUUUGAUGACAUAUUCAUGACACCAUCAAUGUAUAUUUUAAAACAUGCAAUAUGUAUUAUAUUUAUAUGGCCCUUGGGAUUAUAUAUUAUCCCAUUGAGUAUCAACACACAUUAUCUAGCAGAGCCCACAUCAUCCAAAUUUGAACUAUACACAUUUAGGCAAUAAUAACUAUGUCAUGCAGCAUAAUGCAACUAUAUCUUAAAUGUAAAAAUAUACUCACCAUCUCCCCAAAAAGGAGACACAAAGCAUUUCUUGUAGGUGCUAAUUUCUCUUCUAGCUUACUCACAAUGUCACCAGGAUAUUCUGUAAACUAAAUGCUAAAUUGAAACAAUUCAUUUUGUUAGAUGUUAAUCCUUAAAAAAGCCUACAAACCUUGCAUAUUGUCUUUCUAACCCAGUUUUCCAUUCUCAUUCCACACUGUGCUUUGCCUCUCACUGCUUCCUGCAGCCAUGCAGGCUUUCCUUGACUUUAUUGUGUUCCCCAAGCUGGCUCUACCCCAGACGUUGCACAUGCUCUUUCUGAUGUUCUAAGUGAAUCACUGAGUAUAGUGUAUAGUGUCUAGUACAUAAUAAGUUUUGACAUCAGGCUGGAGUGGAGUGGCGUGAUCAUAGCUCACCACAGCCUCCAACUCCUGGGUACAAGGGAUACUCCCAGCCUCCCAAGUAGCUAGAACUACAAGUGUGUGCCACCAUGCCCAGCUAAUUUAAAAAUAUUUUUGUAGAGAUGAGGUCUUGCUAUGUUGCCCAGGCAGGAAGGUCACAGUCUGAUAGAGGAGGUAAAAACACAUCCAGUCAACUAUAACACAAUGUGAUAUAUUAAGCUUUUACUCUGCCACCAUUAUAUUUAAUGUACUGAGGGAAGACAAAUGAGUGAACAACUAAUUAUAUUGGGGAAAGUAUUUGGGAAGACUCUAGAGAAGAUGUAACAAUUGUCUUUAAUAUUAAAAAAUGAUCUUUCUAAGGAGAGAUAUGUGGCAAAGAUGGUUCAGGUCCCUCCCACAACACAUAGGGAUUAUGGGAUUGCAAUUCAAGAGAAGAUUUGGGUUGGGACACAAAGCCAAACCAUAUCACAUGUUCUAGAGACAUCUCUUAACGGUUACACAAAAACCUAACUGAAUAAUUGAGGUCAUGCCAUCCUGCAAUAAAAAUGUUAAUAGGCUUUUAAACACAUUGAAAUGUGCAUUGUCCAGAUGCUUUCAGGCAUAAUUGCAAUGACAUUGGGAUCUUAUUCUGAGUUGGCAAUGUGCUGCAAUUAUUUUUUUAAGUCAGCAGCAUUUAAUUGAUUUGAAGAUUAUUCCUGUGUUUGAUAUUUGGAUGAGAUUGACAAAUACCCAUUUUUCUAGAAUAACGUUUUAAUGCAAAUUUUUUAUGACAGAGUGUCUGUGAUGCCAAAUGUUGCUCUUAUUUUCCACAAGAGAGCAUAAUUAUGAUUUUACAUCACUAAAAUUAUUUCACAUUUUUGAUUAAAGUUGGCUUGCUUUCUGUCAAUGCAGUUGAAAAAUGAAGUUUAUUGAUAUAUUGUAAAAGUAUUUCACUGGUUAGUGUUUCCACACAGAAAUUAUCAAAUAAAACAAUGCCAGUGAAGACUGUUUUGGGCAAUAAAGUUUAGAAUAUAUGUAUGUACCUUUUUCAAACAACGUGAAUGUCAUCAUGAAAAUUACAACAGUUUAUUAAGGAUAGCUUUUUAAAGUGAUGUUGUAGAAAGAGACUGGAUAAGACACAAAAACGAUGAGAAAAACACUUUCAGUCCUAAAUUCAUUAUUUGUUAGUGUGGUUUUUAACUUCAGAAUGAUAGCAUGCUUCCUAAAGCCCUACCAUAAAUAGCAUUAUUUUCAACAUGGCCAAUUUUCUAAUAUACCAAUACUCAUAUAAAACAGGGAUCUUAGAAAUCAGCAGUUUCAGUUCCAGGUCUUCUGAAAGCUCAUAUAAUUCUUCUGAAUUUUUACCGACAGCUUUGGGGAUUGUACUUUUGAUGGUAGGGCCAGCUUUUCUUACAAAUUUUUCCUUUCCUUUAAUUUGAAAAUAAUAUUUACUACAAAUGCUUUGGUUUCUUAUUAUAAUUGCCAUCAUACAGUUAAUGAAAACUAAAUUUUAUUAUUAUAACACCUAACUAUGAACCUCAAAUUCAGACUGUCUUGGUUUGUUUUUUUGCAAAAGUGGUGUAAGUUCCCCAACAAUCUGAUCAUUGAAUUUAUACUUACUCUUUACCCAAAGUUAAACAUAUCUUAAUUGGACAGUGUCCUAAUAAAAUAGUGUUAGGUAUUAUAUCCAGUCUCUCAAUGCUCAUCAGGAUUUAUUCUCAUGCUUAUUUUACUAUACUUGCUUUUCUAUUUUUUUUUUUGCCUUUUUAAUCUUCUCAUGUUUGCCUUCAAAUGAGUAAGAAGAUGGAGUGUGGGUGAUAAAAUGAGAGGAGUCCAGGUGUUUCAUUAAUAUGAAGGACAUUCCACUACUUAAAAAAAAAAGUUUGUGAUUUGAGAUCAAAUGGGGAAGAUAAAGUUGAAAAGUGCUGACAUGUUAUCAAAUCAUCAGCAUUAUGAAACAGCAGGUACCAGAGCCGUUCUAGAUAUUCAUUUAUGUUGACACUUUUAGGACACAAGGGAGAGAGUGUGGCUGUCAGUUAUCUCAUUUUGUUACUUUUGUAAAAGAUCUGCUGAUUCUUUGGGUAUAGCUCUGGUGUCAUUUCAAGUUUUUCCUGGCUCUAAGCAUCACGUCAUCGCCCUGGCAUCCUGUGCCUAUCUCUAACUGUACUAUUUCCUUUCUUCUCAAUUUAUGUGACUUUUUUCAAGAUACUUCAGUAUUUUAUCUCAUUAAGCA